AUUGAAAUGUCGUGGAGCGAUAUUGGUCUGGCCGGGCAUAAGUGCUGUCCUCUGAUGCAUGUCUGCCUUCGAGGUUCCUGAAGCUUCCUGUCUGCUCCCGAGGAAGCAGCUCUCAUUUGCAUUGACUUCCCACAACUUCCUCCAGGUUCCUCUGUUGGUUAGAAAUAGAAGUGACAGCCAGAGAUCAGGAAAGAACUCUGACGAGCAAGCCCAUCGUUUCCUCUGAGACAAAGAUACGAUCAGGCCGAGCAAACCCCGUGUUAACAAAAACAAAUGUGAACAUGAAACAUCUUGAUGUAAAACUUAUGCUCUCCAGGUACUACUUGGGUUGGGUUUUGCUGUUUCAUUAGCUGUGCUACUUUUAACGUUAAGCUGAUAUUGCGAUAAUCCUCCUUAAAUAGCAUCCUGGAGGCGUGCAGAAUCCACAGGAAUGCUGAAGGUAUAGUGCUGUCACACAUCUAUUUAUGCAUUUAGGAUGUUCAUGCAAUGAGUUAUUUAUGGAAAGCUAGUGGAUUUGUGAACAAAGAAAGUUCUAAUUAAAUUUUCACUCUCUACGGUGGUGCUAUAGCUGAUGGUCAAUGGACACUCCUAUUUUUAAUCACAUCUAUUCUUACCAAGCUUUUGUUACUUUUAUUUGCAUUUAACUGAACCUGGGCACUUGACAGCCUCUGACUUAAUAAAACAGAUUUGGAAAAAAGACUUAAAUCCAUUUCUCUCUCCCUCUUUUUAAGUUCUAG
RNAcentral lists this long non-coding RNA (737 nucleotides) under Equus caballus (horse). Its description in RNAcentral is "lncRNA (ENSECAG00000058388.1)". Lineage: Eukaryota; Metazoa; Chordata; Mammalia; Perissodactyla; Equidae. The record is from RNAcentral.